This is a long non-coding RNA of Rosa rugosa (rugosa rose), 1044 nucleotides long. RefSeq lists it as uncharacterized. The record is from RefSeq and is a predicted model, not a curated record. Lineage: Eukaryota; Viridiplantae; Streptophyta; Magnoliopsida; Rosales; Rosaceae. The transcript has 3 exons.
UAUCAGCCGAAACCAGCAAGAAAAACAGAGCAACCAUUCACCUGCCGACCUCUCUCUCCUCAGGCCACCUCAAGACGUCGGACCACCUCCAGUAGCUUCGCCUAGACCUUGCGCAGCCGCCGGUGGCAUCCUUGCGCCGCAACAUGGACUGUAGUGACGGCGGAGGACCUGGCUCCGUUUGAGCCGAUUUCGAAUCAAUCUCAAUAUCUUGAGCUACAAGCCACCAAUACUCUUGAUUCUUGGCUCAUAUGAUUCGCAUCAACUUUCUGAACAAGCACCAAGAAGAACCAGACCUGAAUCGACCAUUUUCACGUUCGUCGGAGCUCGACCGGUUUUUGAUCGAAAAUCAAAACCUUUCGAUCGUGAUAUCUCGAGUUGUAGUGCAUCGUUUUGAUUGAUUCUUGAACCAGUGGGUUUGCCUUGAUGUUCUUAACAACUCUCUAGAAGGAAUCGAGGCCUGAAAUUGAAGUUUUUACGUCGAAACUCAAGCUCGCCGGAUUCUGGAAUUUUUCCGACCACCGAAGCUUUCGAUCGGUAUAUCUCGAGCUACAGACCAUAUUUUUCUGUGAUUCUUGAACCAAUGAGUUCACCUUGAGUUUCUUAACAACUCUCUAGAAGGGAUCGAAGCCUGAAAUUGAAGUUUUGACGUCGAAAUCAAGCCUUGCCGGAUUCUGCAAAUUUCGCCGGAUUCUGGAAAUUUCCGGCCACCUCGACUGUUUUAGGUGAUUGACGGUCUUCCUUGGGUGAGCGGUUUCGGUGUGUAUUGUGUUGAAUUGAAGACGCAGCGGGAAUAUCGAGCGGGUAAUCCUGCAGGUCAGGAGAAUCAGGGCGGUGAUCGAGCGGGUUAGAGUAUUUGUUAUAGUUUUACAGCAUUUGUAAUAGUGAGGUGAGUUAAGCUCAUUGAGCCUUAGAAUUUGAUUUGGUGAGAGUGUGUUGUAAUAAUUAACUUGAGGAUUUGAUUUAUUGUAAUAUUGAGAGGUGUGAAGUGUGGUUGUUUUGAGAAAAAAAUUCAGGUUGUAUUUAUGUGAGUUGUAUUAAUUCAUG